Solanum dulcamara is the source of this 1558-nucleotide long non-coding RNA. RefSeq lists it as uncharacterized. The transcript has 13 exons. Lineage: Eukaryota; Viridiplantae; Streptophyta; Magnoliopsida; Solanales; Solanaceae. The record is from RefSeq and is a predicted model, not a curated record.
ACACAGAGCCCCUAUUUUGCCCCGCUUAUCAUAUAUGCUACAGGCGCAUCUUAGAGUACUCUACCUGUGACGAUGUCCGAUUAAAACCCUAAACCCUAAAACAAUUUUCCCGGCGAUCAAUCUGCUCAAGACUCAAGGAGAUGGGAAGCAUUAAGCGAAUGCCUAAGGCUAUUUGGAGUUCGGCGAGCAUUAAGCGAAUGCCUGAGGCUAUUUGGAGUUCAAUUCAGUCAGGGAUUAUCUUGUACGAUUUUGGGUUGUUGAGGAGUUGGUUUCAAUAGCCUCGAUACUGGUGCCACCAAGGUAUAUGUUGCUAUAGGCAGUGGGACCUGCUAUGUUGAGGUGGAUGACAAUGGAUCUGGUGUUUCACGAGAUGUGCUGAUGUGAGAAAUAUUUGGUAACCUUUUUUCAAAGUGUUGUACUGAAGUUGAGCUGGAACAUACACAUUAGCGCAUAGGACUUUUAGCCCAGUUUAUGGAGACAGUAUAUGCGCCUGUUUCUUUCAUCUUCUGUUCUAUUUCCUUUUUGUCUGGCCAUUCUAACUAUGUUAUCGUAUGCUUCAUUUACACCAGCGACAUCAAAAUACAGACAUUUAAAUGAUAUGCAUGAUUUUCCAGCAAGUUUUGGCUUCAAACGAGAGGCUCUGAGCUAUAUUUCUGACUUUUCUUUGUUGGAAAUUGCUACUAAACUCACUGGAGGCCAAAUGAAUUCGUAAGGUUUUGAAGUGAGGAUGACCUGCUUUGCACACGUGCUUCUCCUUCCCCAUUGUCGUAUUGUCCAAUGGGUUUGGGAUUCAUCUGAGUUCCUUUAAUAAAUUGAAUGCAAUCGAUGGUUCAUUCAAGCUCUCUGGAUACAUCUCAGCGGCAUCAAAAUACAACCAUUCAUAUGAUAUGCAUACUUUCGUAGCAAGCUUUGGCUUUAAAGGAGAGGCUCUGAGCUCUAUUUCUGACGUUUCUUUUUGGAAAUUCUAAAACUCAUGGGAGGCCAAAUGGAUAUCCUGAGGUUUUGACGGAUGGCAAGUGUUUGUACCUUGGAAUUGAUGACUGUAGAGAAGACGUUGGUACAACAGUCAUUUCUUCAUGAUGUAUUUUACAACCAACCUUUUUCGAAGGAAGCAAAUGCAUUCCAAGCACUUCUAGUUUUCUCAAAAUCAAACAAUGUCUCCUUCAAAACUGUUUAUAUUGAAAGUGAGGAUGACCUGCUUUGCACACGUGCUUCUCCUUCUCCUUGCCACUGUUGUCCAGUGGGUUUGAGAUUCAUCUGAGUUCCCUUAACAAAUUGAAUGCAAGCGUUGGUGCAUUCAAGCUUUAAGGAUACUUCUCAGGUCCUGAUGUUUACACAGUGAAGGUCCUGCAGUAUUUCUAUAUUCACUUAUAUCGUGCUUCUGACUUUAAGCAGCGAAAUAGAUCUCAGAUAUUAUAUCCACUGUUCUUGUUGAACCUAAACUGCCCAAGAUCUUUAUAUGAUUUGACUUUGGAGCCUUCAAAGACCUCUGUGGAAUUUAAGAUAUACCUGAGAAUUAUGAGAUCAAGAAAAAGAGGUGCAGGGCCCAGUGUUGCAA